GACCGGAUGGCGCAAUGGUAGCGCGUGUGAUUCCAGAUCUCAAGGUUGCAGGUUCAAUCCCUGCUUCGGUCA
This is a non-coding RNA of Anncaliia algerae PRA109, 72 nucleotides long. The record is from Rfam. NCBI's taxonomy places the organism in Eukaryota, Fungi, Microsporidia, Tubulinosematidae.